AAAAUGGUAAUAUGAUGCAAUAGUGAUAACAAAUGGAUGCUCAAAACAUGUAAAAUGCACACUUAUCAAGUAGAAGAGCUAGAACCGCAACCGGAUUUUGAAAACCCAAGUAGUGUUUCCUUGUUAGAAGAUACAAAGCCCAAGACUCAUACGGACUUCGGUUACACCAUUAAAGCUUUGAGAAGCAAGAAGAAGUUUGGUUUGUGUUUUU
This 211-nucleotide small RNA is filed under the name Arabidopsis thaliana (thale cress). RNAcentral's name for it is "ATSL162670". Lineage: Eukaryota; Viridiplantae; Streptophyta; Magnoliopsida; Brassicales; Brassicaceae. The record is from RNAcentral.